AUCUUCUGGGCCUGGGUCUGUUUCAUCACUGAUGGUGGUGUCGACGAACGCAUUAUCGAGGUUCAACGCUUCGAAGAUAGGAUUGCUGUCGCUAUCGACAAUACCCGACACGCUAACACGGAAGACUUCAUCGCCUUCGGCAUACACAUCGUCCACGGUAUCGAUGGUAAACGUAGCCGUCACACCAUCGGCACCAAUAAUCGCUUGAGUGGUUUCGGUGAUAUCGUCACCGGAUGCAGUGGUGUAGCUGUAAGCGAGCGUGACGAUGCUACCGACUGGCGCUGGAUCGCUCAGUGUCACGGUGUAUUCCGUGGUGGUGUCACCUUCUACGACAUUCGCUGGACCUGUCAUGGUGACGGUGACCCUAUCUUCCGGACCCGGAUCGGUUUCAUCGCUAAUGGUGGUAUCGACGAACGCAUUGUCUAAAUUCAGUGCUUCAAAUAUAGGAUUGCUGUCGCUAUCGACAAUACCCGACACGCUGACACGGAACACUUCAUCGCCUUCAGCGUAAACAUCGUCCACUGUAUCGAUGGUAAACGUGGCGGUUACGCCAUCCGCACCAAUCACUGCUUGAGUGGUUUCAGUGAUGUCAUCACCGGAUGCCGUGGUGUAGCUGU
Molecule: ribosomal RNA, 617 nt
Filed under: Vibrio parahaemolyticus VP2007-007
Lineage: Bacteria; Pseudomonadati; Pseudomonadota; Gammaproteobacteria; Vibrionales; Vibrionaceae
Description: partial 16S ribosomal RNA
Source: RNAcentral